GAUGAACGCUGGCGGCGUGCCUAAUACAUGCAAGUCGAGCGAACAGACGAGGAGCUUGCUCCUCUGACGUUGGCGGCGGACGGGUGAGUAACACGUGGAUAACCUACCUAUAAGACUGGGAUAACUUCGGGAAACCGGAGCUAAUACCGGAUAAUAUAUUGAACCGCAUGGUUCAAUAGUGAAAGACGGUUUUGCUGUCACUUAUAGAUGGAUCCGCGCCGCAUUAGCUAGUUGGUAAGGUAACGGCUUACCAAGGCGACGAUGCGUAGCCGACCUGAGAGGGUGAUCGGCCACACUGGAACUGAGACACGGUCCAGACUCCUACGGGAGGCAGCAGUAGGGAAUCUUCCGCAAUGGGCGAAAGCUUGACGGAGCAACGCCGCGUGAGUGAUGAAGGUCUUCGGAUCGUAAAACUCUGUUAUUAGGGAAGAACAAAUGUGUAAGUAACUAUGCACGUCUUGACGGUACCUAAUCAGAAAGCCACGGCUAACUACGUG
Molecule: ribosomal RNA, 497 nt
Filed under: uncultured bacterium
Lineage: Bacteria
Description: partial 16S ribosomal RNA
Rfam family: Bacterial small subunit ribosomal RNA
Source: RNAcentral